Molecule: long non-coding RNA, 23626 nt
Filed under: Musa acuminata (dwarf banana)
Lineage: Eukaryota; Viridiplantae; Streptophyta; Magnoliopsida; Zingiberales; Musaceae
Description: long non-coding RNA (MACU_LNC002155)
Source: RNAcentral
UCCCCCCCACUUGGAUCUUUGCUUAUAAAGGAGGGUAGCGGAACGUGCUGGGCCAUUGCAUGCUUUAAGAACACCACCUCCACCUCCCGCAAGGAUUCUGUGGUCACUUGCUCUUGCUUGCGCACGUAGGUCUUCUGGUUUGCAUGGCCCUCGCCAAUGGUCGGAUCCCACAAGGCUGGUCGUCGUCCCAUGCAUUAAUCCAUGGGGGAUGGGCAGCUUCUCCCCAGCUUUCUCUGAACGAGCUAUUUGAAGGAGAUCCUAUCUACUCAUUUAGUAGCAGUCACGCGUUGGGCGUGGCGAAUCCUUGUUCUUUGGAAGAAGCGCGGUCCGUCGUCGACUUCAGGGGAAUCCCCGGCGGCUGGUGCGGCUCCAACUCCUCGUUGCUGGACUUCGAGCAAGGUGACGGCGUGACGUGUACCGGAAUCGCUGACUCAUGGCUGGCUGACGGCCGAAUCUACUCGGAUAUGAUGAGUGCCUACGGUUCUUUAGGCAGCCCUGUGAGAGAGGUUGAAAUCCAAAAGAGAAGUCGGUCGAUGCCAAUAACGCAGGAAGGUGAUGUGCCAAGUCCGAAGAAGCGAUGCGGUAACGCUCGAACGAUCAAGGAGAAGUCGAGUCCAUCCAAGGAUCCCCAGACUCUUGCAGCAAAGGUGUGCACAGCUAACUUUAGAUCUCUUGAGACCCCCAAUUAAAAUCCUCUUCUUCUUCUGACAGAUCCUUCGUUGUUGCAGAACCGGAGGGAGCGCAUAAGCGAGCGCCUUAAAACUCUCCAAGAUCUUGUGCCCAAUGGAGCAAAGGCAUGCAUUUUAUCAAACAGCUUAGCCACAUUUGAUUCUGCCGAUCAUAUCCUAAUCGUGUUGACCGAUAUGUUGUAGGUUGACAUGGUUACCAUGCUUGAGAAGGCCAUCAACUAUGUGAAGUUCCUUCAGUUGCAAGUGAAGGUAAUCCACUUUACUUCAAAUUGGAGCUUUUUCUCGGUCAUAGUGAUGGAUGACAAGUGUUCUGAUGGCUGUGCAGGUUUUGGCAACCGAUGAGUUCUGGCCUGCACAAGGAGGGAAAGCACCUGAUACUGCUCAAGUGAAGGAGGCAAUCGAUGCCAUCUUAUCUUCUCACAGAGACAGGGACUGUAGCUCGAACCAGUAAACUCCAUGUAAUGUUAGCUGAAACAGAACUGCAAACAUCCUUAGUCUGGAGUUAUGAACAUCUGAAAGAGUACAGUGAAUACUACCUCUGUCAUUUUUGGUUUCAAUUUGUCCUUGGUAUUUUGAGACUAGAUAAUUACCAGCAUCAGUUCCCAAGUCCCAACAUGCCACAAAUUAAACAACACAUGACAAAGGGCUUGCAUAGUGUCCUUUUUGUUCUUUCCCAAAGAUAUCAGCACCAGAGUCAACUGCUUGGGGGAAGAAACACCACCUCUACAGCAAGCAUUUCAUACAUUACUACUGAACUUACCUUGAUAAACUCUACCAUGAGUGGUCCAACCGCAAUCAGUUCUGCAGGGUACAAAUGUUAGCCUUCAGCCUGAAGGCUAACAUUUAUCUCACAGAAGGAAGCAAGAGGUGAAUGCCAACUAUCUUUGAGAACUUAUAAUGAAUCUGGAACAGCAAUAUGUUGUUCCAACUCAAGGGAGCAUACAAUACAGAGCAGCAUUUUGUGUGUUGAACUCUGAGUGAUGUUCUCUGGAGACAGUUUAGUGGUUGGUCCAUUUCUUUCUCUUGAAGAUAUUCAUUGGCAUGAGCUGAAGAAAUUUAGAAACAUCAACCUGAAGCAAUGAAAAAGAUCCACUUGGGAAAAGAUGUUUCAUAUUGAUACCGACCCUAUGAUAAUAUCAUGAUGUCUAAAUUCUCACUAUAUAGACGAACAUGUAGCUUCCUGAUCUGUUUACUUUGUGAAGUUAAAUUUGGGAUAAUAAGCAGUUAAAUCCAACAACUGAUAUGAAUUCAAUUUAUCUAACAACUGCAAGUAGGAUGCAUGAGCAUAAUAGAGUGAUUUGAACCAGGAUGGAAAGAUAAUUGAACCUCUUCAGCAACCCUAGCAUAAUCAAACUUGACUCCAGAAACUACCACUUCUUGCCUCAAGCACAUCACAUCAUGUCUUCAAUUAUUUGGGUAUGAGAAGCAUCAACAUUCACAUGAAGGAACAUGAUUUGCUGCUUUUCAUGUGAAAUAAGAACAAAAUAACAACUCAAUGAUACCUAAUUGUGACAAAAUGAUAAUUUACAUACAAAAAGAAAAACACUAGUUCGGUACACUUUCAGGAACAUCCCAACUUAGCUGUGAAAUGGUUCAAUGACAAAAGCAAUGCUAUUUAGGAGAAAUGGUUCAAUGUAAGAUGUGAAAGACCAAGGAAUCUAACUGAAAGCUGCUUCGGAUAUGGUGAAAAGAGAAUUACUUAGAUGCAAUAUUUUUUAGUGAAUCUGUUCAUUUUGUGGGUUUUUUUUGGUUAUGUUAGGAGGAACUCUACGCAAAUAAUAUAAUUAAUACUUGACCCUCACUUUUAUGUCAAUCAGUAUUAAGUCAAACGACACCAGAUCAGCCUCCUAAAUCUGCUGAUAAUUUUGCUAUUCUAAACUCAGUCAAUAUUUGUCAUCAUAUAGAAAUCUACUUCAGUGUACCCUAAUCGUUUUCCUAUGUAUGUUUGUAGUGGUAGGAAAGAAAACGUAAACCAAACUUCAAAUGUCUCGAAAGAAUUAAGGACUCAAGUCCAAUAUGGAUUCAGAAAUAUGGCUAUACAGAAAGAAAGUGUAUACACAAUGGCAAGGCCCAUACAUGACCUGUUUACAUGUCGGUCUGACAGCACCAAUUGUACUGGCUGUACUCAGAACUCGAAUCAUGGCGGCCAAAUACCAAUUGCUGAAAAAUCCUGACAUCUGCUGAAUGAGCUACAUGGAACACUUUGCUUUGUCCCGGAAUGACACCAUUGCUAAGAUCAAUGUCAGCAAGGUAAUCAAGAACUCUGACCACCUGAAGCAAGAAUGAUUUAACAAGUGUUGUGAUAUAUUCCUUCUAAAUGUUGGUUUAGUGUGUUUGAUUAUAACCUUUCCCAUUUGAGGCCUCAUUGCUGCCGAAUGACGGGUACAUGCUGCUGCUGCUUCAAUCAUUCGGAACAUUUCAGCUUCAUUAUAGUUCUUUUCAAGUCUAGGGUCAGGUAAUUCCCCAAAUUCUCCAGUUUCGAGUGCACGGGAAAGCAAUGGUCGUGCCUGCAAUUUCAUUAGCAGUUCACCAAGCAGAUAACUAUAUUUUGGAACCAAGAUAAAAGAAAAGAUAUCUUAGAGAAUCACGUAACAAAGUCUAUGUAAUCCACAGUAGCAAUGACAACAAUGCUCCGGGGAAUUCUGCUUGCCAGCAGAAUUCUUUUUUCUGGCACUAGAGAUUCAGGGCAGGCAUUUGUGCAAGUCUUUGCUGUACUAGUAAUUAUAGUCAAUCAGAUUCAAACUAAUUUUGCAUAAUAUAAUACUAACAAAUAAUUAAAUAAUGCUAUCAAGGUCCAUUUUUAGUUUCAAAGUGGAGGGAUCCCUCUUGGCUGAUGUAGAUCUUAACAAUUAAAUAACAGAUCUCAAGCAUAUAACAUGUUGUCAGACAUCCUCUUCUAUGAGCAUCAUCGCAUGAAGGAUACAUACACUAUAAUUGACUAAUCUCUACCAAGUCAAAGCCCAGAGAUUCAAACCUUUGAAAGUUUAUAUUACAUAAAGUUUAAUAUAGUUAUUACUCAACAUUAACUAAUCCCUGAGGUGUCAAAGUUUGUAAGCAUGGAGCAACUGCUUAAUCUACAGGUUGAAGACUACAAAGUUGGAACCUUUGCCUGCUGGCAACAUUUAAAAAUUUGCACUUGAAAUUCAAAUAAGAUAAACAGGAUGCAAAUUUCAGGAAACUUUUUGGUGGGACUAAGGACAAAAAGAUGCCUUAAAUUUUGAAUCAGAAGCUUCUAGUAUACAGGGGAAUCAGGUUAAGCACCUAUACCAUGAAAUAUUUAUAAUGAAAGCAAAAACUAUGAAACAGGUACCCAAAGAAAAAGGGUAUCCCAGUGUGGAUCACAGGCAAGACUUUAGUGAAUAAAGUGAUCUUUAGGACCUUAACAUCUGAAAGAAUGUCAUGGCAUGUUUUGUGAAAUAUGGCACUUGCCCUCUUCGGACCUACAUAGGCAGAAACCUCAUGCAUUAGCCACUCUUUAGUUUAUUGUAUACUUCAAUAUGAUCCAGUAAAUGUGAGAAAAACUAGGACUCUGGCUGCCUAUAUAUCAGAUUUCUAAUGAAUGUUGACAAUCUACAUAAGCUCAGAAACCAAAGUCGUGCAAUAAGUGUAUGAUUACUUCAACUAGCACAUACAUAUCAGAUUUCUAAUGAAUGUUGACAAUUAAUCUGUCACAAGAUAUAUAUGUUUAAGCUAUUUCAAUAACAUGAUGACACACGAAAAAAAAGAUUGGACAUGGAAAGUUUGAAGACUUACCCACUCAACAAGGCUUUCAUCACCCAUAGGCCUUGUACUGUCAACAGGCUUUCGUCCAGUAAUAAGUUCCAAAAGCACUACCCCAAAAGAGAAAACAUCAGAUUUUUCAGUCAACCUGCCACUUGAUGCAUACUCUGGAUCCAAAUAUCUGAGGUACAAAAUGAUGUCAGGCUGUUUAUGGCAAAAGAUGAAAGAACCGCAAGAUACCAAUUAAUUCCAAAAGCUUUAUGGUCAAAGGUUUGCAGCAAUGACAUGAUUCACCUACCCAAACGUCCCUAUUACACGAGUAGAAACAUGUGUACAAGCAUCCACAGCUAACCUUGCAAGCCCAAAAUCAGAAACCUAGUGCAUAAUAACAAGUUAGCAGUGACACUACUAACAAUUAUAAUAGAAGGAUCGAGACCUUUUUUACUCCAAACAAGAUGUCUUAUAAUGAGGAUAACCUGAGCUUCAAAAUUAUUGCCCAACAAGAUGUUGGAAGACUUUAUAUCUCUAUGAAUUAUCCGGGGAUGACCUGGUUAGAAUCACAACAACAAACAUUAAAUAAUAUAUAGUUGACAAGUUAAAUAGAUAUAAAUAUGUUGCUGGUAAGUAUCAAUAUAUAUUAUUACAAUCCUCAUGCAGGUAUGCGAUGCCAUGAGCUGCACCAGCAGCAACCUUUACCCUGGUGGCCCAAUCCAUUACUGGCUUUCUUUUCCCUGAAAAUGCAGAUUUAGUAUCAAAAUGAAUGUAUAACAUAUUUAGAUUGAUUCUUUUUAUUAUAAACAAUGAUAGUACUUUGAAUAGACAAGCGUCGGCUGUACCAUGAAGAUGAGAUUCAAGUGUUCCAUUAGGCACAUAAUCAUAUACAAGCAAUCUCUGGUUGUCUGAUAUGCAGUACCCAACAAGAGAAACCAAAUGGCGAUGGUGCACACGACUGAUGAUCUCAACUUCAGCUUUAUACUCAUGCUCCCCCUGUCCACUUCCAACUUUUAAUUGCUUCACAGCAACUUCUCUUCCAUCAGCUAAGCAUCCUUUGAAAACAGAACCAAACCCACCCUCACCUAGUAUAUUUUGAGGUGCAAAGCCAUUGGUUAUAUCGUAUAGCUCUUUGUACAAAAACCAUGGUGUUGUACUAGAUAUUGCUGUUUCAGGUGGUGAGUUGAUCGUCUCAAUGCUACCAGACUUGUGAAGAUGUACACAAGGAGCUGAUGGGGACAUUGGAAGUGGUGAAUCUGUUAAGCAAAAUUAAGUAAGGUCAUGAAAAUUGACAAAAUGUCAUCAGCGUUCCUUGGUGGUUUAUUCAUGAAAUUUUAGCAACUUCCAAAGGUAUAAAUUUCAUAAACCCCAAAAACAAAGAAUAUAUUUUAAGGCAAUUAGUAAAGUUUUCAAACUCCAAAACCAACAUGACAAUUGGAGUUAAAACAAACAAUAAGAUGAUCAGAAUAUAAAAUCUUAAGAGGCUCUAAGCAUUACCCGACAUUAUUGAAGAUGUAAAUGAUGAAGGCCUGACAAACCCUGCAUUACAUCCAGCAACCGAAUUCUUGCGCUUCCUCAGAAAGCACACAGCCAGUCCUGCUAUGCUAAGUACCACGAGAGCCACCACCAAUCCAAUAGCCACAGCAGGUCCAGUCUUCAGACCACCAUCUCCCUGUCCCGCAUCUGAACCAGGAACCGAUGGUGUGUUGGGACCUCGUUUACUUGGACUAGGUAUACUGCCUGGAGGAGUAAUGGAAGAGGUUAAGGGCGGAGGACGAUCAGGUAGCUUAGGAGUCGUACCGCCAGAAAAGUUAGGGGGAGGAGAUUCAGCAGGUGAUGAUGCAUGUUUAGAUGGUGUCACCGAAGGCGGGCCUACCGACGCUGAUGGAGGUGGUGAUGAAGGAGAACUGUUAGGUGGUUUAGCUGAUGGUGAUAUUGGAGAAGAACCUGCAGGUGGUGUCACGGAUGGUGGAGCCAGUGAUGCAGGAGGCGGGGAGCCGGAAGACGGUGGAGGAUCAGUAGGAGCAGUAGGAGGUGUUGAUGGUACUGAAGCAGGUGGAGAGGUGGCACUGGAAGCCGGUGGAGGAGACACUCUUGGUGGUUGGGGAGAAGCAGAAGGUGGUGGAGAUGACGAUGGCAGCGGCGGGGAGGGGGUAGUUACAGGAGGAGGCGAACUGGCGAUCGAUGGUGGCGGUGAUACUGAUGGUGGAGAAGUUGGUGGUGAGGAAGGAGAGAAUGGAGAUGGUGCGCUAGAAACAGGAGGAGGAGAUGGUGGUGGUGGAGUCGAAGUUGAAGAGGACGGGGGAAUCGCCGACGAAGAGGGCGGAGGGGAGGAAGACAUCUUCACCAAGAUUUAGUUCCCUCCAACGAAAUCAGCGUCGCUGUCGCUCUGCGGCUCUUAUGGCAAGCAAGUCAAAAGUUUCUUCCUUCCACAAGAUCUCAGAAUCAGCAAAAUCUCCAGAGCCAGAUCUUCCAGAUUAAAUGCGGGAAGAAACGCAUCGAGAUAUCUUGCUCCACAAACAGGACCAAAAACAGCGAAAAAGAUCGAUCAGAUCAUCGAAACACCAGAAAUCCUUUCCUUUACAUAGAAAAAUGAGCGAGAAACCCUAAACUUGUACGCCCAGACUCCAAAAUUAGAUACUCGAAACGAACGAAAUCCAUAUCUACCAACUUGAAUCGGAAAAAAACGAAAGCUUCCUGGACGUCAGCAUCCCGGUGUGGUGACUUAUUACCCAAAAAUCUCAACUUUUGUUGAACAAACUCAGCAAGAUCGCACCUUUACCAAAUUUUCUCGCCGCAUGCGGCGGUACCAAACCCCCAGAAAUCUAUAGCGCUUUCCAAAAUAAGCCGAACUUUUGGCGAGUAAUGCCAACUUUCUCCUUGAACAGAACCUCCAAGAUCCCACCUUUCCCUUUGAUCCCACAGCAAGUGGCCAACCCACGAAGAACACAAGACUGCAGAAGUCGUAAAAGUGUAUUCCCCGAUCUGCCAGAUCGAUAGAUCUCACCUUCUCUUCUCUUUUCCUCCUAUGUUUCUGUUCUUGGUCUUAGAAUGGCAUACCAGAAGUGUGUGUCUGAACAUACUUCGGAGUGUCCAAGGAGCGAUUCAUCUUCCACCCACCAAGUUUGUAGCUUCCCACUGCAGAGCCUCCAAUCCUUCAUGUGUCAGGAAGCAAAAACUUGCUCGGCUUUUUCCAAAACACUUAGCUGAUGACGACCAUGAUAAAAUUCUUUCAAGAAAAGAUCUUCCUGCUCUUGGCACUAAUUACUCUGGUUGUCCCUGUUUCGAAUGUUCUCUUUCGCUCCGGUGGACUUUUCUCUCUCUCUCUCUCUCUCUCUCUCUCUCUGGAUGGACUAAAAAAUGAUCCAUGCUUUUGUUUCGUUCGUACAUUUUGCUUAUAAAAACUACACACAUUUUUUAUGUUAUAUUUGUAUACUUGCUGCACCUGACGAUGAAUUCGAGUAGAAUAUUUGUCGACCAAUCCUCGUAGUCCAUGCGCUGGUACGAAACUUAUCGUGCCGUUCUUCGCAGGGCAUUAGUACUCGUCAGCAAGUCAACGCGCACGGAAGCGAAGCUGACGCAGAAAGCGACGUGCGUUCGGAAGUGUGACGCAGCGGAAAGCGACGUGCGUUCGGAAGCCGAGCAGUCCUCACACGCAGUUUGUCUUCCAAUCACCUCGAGGCACCCAUGUUCAUCUAGAACACAAUUCAAACCUCGUUCCGUUCGGAGUGUGACGCAGCGGAAAGCGACGUGCGUUCGGAAGCCGAGCAGUCCUCACCCGAGAUCCGGAGCCAGUUUCGAUUGGAUCGAAUUUGGAAUCGACGAUAAUUAUUUGCUUUAAUUUUAAUUUUAUUUUUUUAAAUCUCUCUUCUAUAAGAUGAAUUUUUAUUUAUAUGAUUAUAUUUAUUUAUUAUAUAUUUAAGCCAUACAAAAAAUUUUAUAAGAUUACAUACAUACAUUUUUUUAAUUAAAGUAAAAAUAAAUUGUUUUUUAAAUUAAAAAAAUUUAAAAUAUUAGAAAAAAAAUAUUAUAAAAUUAUUCAGUAGACUUUUUGAAAUAUAAUUUCACGAAUAAUAUUUAUUAAAAAUAAAAAAAAUGUGCUCUCAAAUAUAAUUUAAAUUUUGAACUCAUGAUUAUUUUUGGGUUGAUAUGAUGCGACCUCUAUUUGGUGCUUUCCGGUGAGUGUAAUGUGUUCUAUCUGAUCCAUGUUGCGAUAAGUAGUGAGAGGAAAGUGUUUCGUAGAAAUCGUGCUAUGAGAAUUCUCAACCAUUCAUGUUGGCUUGUUAGCUUUGUCCGUACGCCUUUGGGACAAACCACGAUUGAUCAAUCUACUUUCACUUAUAUAAGGAUUCGAAACAUUAAUCUAUUAAAUUACAACUAUUAAACAUUGAUGUGAUUGAUAGUAGAUCGAAUUAUCAGUGCCUUCUCUUCAAUUGUAAUAUUUUUAAUAAUUAUUAUAAUAUUUUUGGUACAUUAAAAAAAAAGAAGUUUACCCGAUAAAAAAAAAAUACAAUACAACUAACUAACUAUAAAAAAUUAAAUUAUAUACCAAUAACAUUAUUUUUGAAUUAAACUAUAAUAUUUUUAUUAUAUCUAUUGAAACAUUGUAAAUGUAUAUAAAAAUAAUAUAAUUUCUUUGCAAUUAUAUAUAUAUAUAUAUAUAUAUAUAUAUAUAUAUAUAUNNNNNNNNNNNNNNNNNNNNUCCCUCUUUCGAGUCUUGGCUUGUUUCCCGUGUUAUGGCAUUCCACUACGAGGACAACGACCCCUGCCACUGCUAAUCUCUCUGUCCGUCUCUUUCUCUGCCCAUCUGGCCGGAGAUGGCGAAGGAGCGUCUACAGAUUGAUUGGAAGGAGAUGCUAGCCGGGAGGGACGACGGCCCGCCGCCGGAGGUCGAGGUGGUCGCCGCAGCGUCCGGCCACGGAGAGGCGGGGCCGGCGGAUGCAUCGGAGCUCGUCCAGUUCUCUGAUCAUGAGUUGCAGGAGCGGAUUCAACGAGUGGUGAAACAACUCUCGUUGGGCAUCGGGAGCCGGCUAAACGAUAGCGGUGCCAAGUUGAGGGCAAGCCUCCGCCAGAUGCAGGCGGAACUCGAUCGGAGGAAGCUUGUCCGUGUUCCCAAGGUACGCAAUCGGCUCCGUCGACAGAUGUGUGCGUAGAUGCAGGGAAGGGUGGGUUUGAGAGAUUUCGUGUGUGAUAAUCAGAAAGGGAGGUGAUUGAAAGAUAGGGUUCUGGCUAGGUAGUUCCUUAGAAGAUAGGGUUUCGGAUAUUACUUCUUUCGAAGGAAGAAAUUCUCAUUGGAAAACCUAAACAAGGAAGAAAAAAACUAGAGGAACGGGGAAGUGGGUAAAGAAAAAAGUGAACCCAAAUGGUAAUGGCAUGAAGUGGAGGGAUAAAUUUGCGCUUGAAAAUCUUGAUUGGAUUCAAUCGAGAAAAGAUGAAGAUUAGGGCAGCUGGAACUGAUUCUUUUUGGACGCAUUGUUCCUUUAUUCUUUAAAUAACGAUAAAACUGAUAUGAACUGGCGAACUACAGAAGUUCACUCAAGAGUUAGGUGAUAGAUCGAUAAAAUGAUGGAUGGAGGUCAUUGCAAAAGAACAGUUUGUAGUAGGGAAACAAAAUAGAGAUAUACAUAAGCUACAAUAGCAAGCUGCAGUGAGUAGGAUAUAAACUAGAAAGGGUUUCGGUUGGCAACACUAUCAGACAUCACCUAGAAGGACCAACUUUUGGUUACAGAAUUAUUCCAUAUAGUUACUUCCUGAUGAUUGACAAACUCAAUUUUGUUUUCUCUUCUACUGUAAUCUCUUUUACAGGGUUCUGGACGAUGCAGUAAGGUCCUUCAGUCAGAAAACAUAGAAUCAUCAGGUAGCACUCAAGAAUCUUUUCUACAUAACCAGAAUAUAGACCAUUCAAUGAAGAAGUGGAUUCAAUAAAGAAGUGUACUGGAACAAUUCUUUGGGCUUUUUUUUGUGUUAAACUCUCUUAUUUACUAUUAUGGUGAAUGUAUCACUAUUUGGUUGCAUCUAGACUUGCUUAUCAUUCGUGCACCAUCAGGUACAGUAAAAGAUUCCAGUGAAAAUUCUACAGCACCCAAAUCUCAUCCACAAUCUUCGUUUACAUCUAAAUUUCUGGAGAAGUUACAAGGGAAGGUAAAUGUAUGAUCUUCUCAAUUUACAUUCAUUCAUCAGUUUGCUGGUGUAGGCUUUUCCAUAUUCUUUCCUCAGGCAGAUGCUGCAUCUAAUGAGGACUUGAAAGUUAUAAGCCGAGGCAAGAGCAGAGGUUCAGAAAAAAAUGAAUUACAAAAGGAUGAGAGACAACAUCAAAUUGCAACGUCUUCACAGUCAGCUAGGCUUUCUUCCAGGCAAACACAUUUCCAGUGUGCUAGCAGCAUUGCGAAGAAAGAUCAACAUAUGUCCUUGACUAGUAAAUAUAGAGAUUUAGAACUUUCCAAUCUUCCCAAAGGAAAAUCCUAUUCAAAUUGUAAAAGGUAACUUUUAAGCUUCUAGUAUGAAUAAAAAAAAAGCUUCUAGUGGCAUUUUGAAAAUUUGUUACUUUUCUCUUUCAUAUUCUAAAGUGUUGGCCAGAAUCUAUCAGCACUUCGUUUCAGCUCAAUUUUUGUUCUAAAGUUAUAUGUAGUUUUUUUUUUACUUUUCAUAUUGUGAAUAUCUUAAAUAACCAUUGUUCAAUUUAAUUUUGACUUGUAAAAUUAAGUUAAGGCUAUUGUGAUUUAUGAGAUAUAUUUUUGAGCAAUAACUAAGUGGAUGAUCCAAUUUUGAUUUGUUACUUUUCCUUUCACUAAUUCAUGAUGAUGCUUUAUGAAUAUCGAUUUGAUAUAUGUCAAUGCUCUUAAAACAAAGGAAAAAUUAUUGCAAAUAUUAGGUUUUUAACCAAAUUUUUAAAAGGGGCAGCCUGGUGCGUGCCACUAUGAGAUGAUCAAGAGGUCUUGAACCAAACUGUUGGUUUUGGGAUGAGUAUGGAAUCUAUGGGAUCUAUGGGCAGCCUGGUGCAUGAAAUCUUUUCUUCUAUGUAUCAGCUGAAUCAUGGAUGAGUAAGAAAGAGACCAAUCAGACCUACUUCUUCCUCCGACUACUGAUAUGCAAUUUAUGAAAAUAUUAAAGAGGAGCUUACCAAAUAUUCUUGGUUGUAAUUGAUCAUGGAAGAAUAAAGUCUACUGGAUUGGGGAUAAGAACAUUCAGUCUACAAGUAUGUCAUGGGUAUUUGGGUUGAUGUUCCGUGCUGUUAUAGCUAUAUAAUUACAAAAGGAAAAAAAGAAAUCAAACCUGAAAUAGAGAGGCAGUGGUAAUAUGAUGGGAUGGCCUCCGACCUCCCUACUUCUUCGGUUCUAUCUUAUGUCCAGGACCUUCUAAGCUUUCAUUAUAAUUUAUGACGAUCUCUCCAAACAGUCACAAGCUUUUCGCCAAAUGUUGGUGCCAAAUUGCCUAGUGUAGCAAAAGAUAUUUAGGAAAUGACUUGGGAAUCCAUCUUUUUAAGAUCUUGGAUGAAGCAUAUUAAAUCACAAUUGAAUAAAUUUGAGGUAUUAAACGCAUGGAUCAUAAGUCAAGGCAAACCAUUGUAUUGUCAAAUUCAUAGUAUCCUUUUGGCAUUUCACUGCAGUGCAUUCAUUCCCUUGUGCACGUUAUUAAGGGUCAGUGUUUUGUCUGCUGAUACCAUGGUGGUCCUUGGGCAGACUGUUAUGAACCACUUGGCAUGUUAGGGUGACAGCCUGGUGUUGUCUGGUACAAGUCUAUGAUGCCUAUCAUACUGCCAAGGCUGCUCAAUAUGCCCUUGGCGUGACAGAUGACUUAGUACAGGUACUUGGACGGGCCAUCAUGGUAUGCUUGGUAUGGCAAACUUGGCACCAUGCAGAUUAGGCACCCAAUUUUACAGUGAAUGUAUUUCAACCAGCAAACUGACAUAUAGAUAUGUGAAUAUACUAAGAUAUAUGCUUGUAUGGUGUAUGGGUUUGUGUUUAAGAAGUUGAUCAAUGCUUACAAGCAGACUUGGAGGAACUAAGCGGAGCCCCCUUUUUUUUUAUCAAGGAUUUGGAACAAGGAUUCACCUGUUCUGAUCCCAAGUUUGUUGGCCUUUCAUCACCUUAGCGCGUUUAUGGAGCUUGAGAUUAAACUGUGGCAUAGUAGUUGACCAAUUUUAUGUCUAAUUGACUCAGACUACUGUAAAUGAGAAUUAGUUGAAGUGCUUGAAAAUUAUCCAGUUCUCAUUGAAGUCAGAUCAUGCUUUUUCUGAAAUGUAAACCUUAUAAUUAUUAAACAUUGCUAUGGCCUUUAUUGUUGAUGUAGAUGAUAUACAACCACUAUCCAGAUUAGGGGUGUGUGUGGCUAACCUCUUUGUAAACAUUCUUUCCACAUGAGAGAAAUUAUCUGCAUUAUUGAUAAUUGAACCACAGUUUGCAGUCUUUAUCUAUAGCCACUCUUGUAAGUACCAGUCUUUGAGCAGUUAAUAUCUUAUACUGAACAGAGGAAUGACAGCCACUUUUUCCAUGAUAAUUUUUGUUUAUAUAUUGUAUUUUGUUUUAAACAUCACUUUCCUAUUGAAACUCAACAUAUAAAUAAAGACUGAAGAUCCUUGUAAAAUAACAUCCCAUGAAUUUACAUGAAAGCAAUUAAUGAUGAAACAUUGAUUUAAAACCCUGUCGAAAGUUUUCUACCAUUAUGUACUUGGAGUUUUCCUCUAUAUCAACCCGAUUAUUUGGAUAAGGCUUAAUUAUGAUGAUGGUGAUAAGUUGAUGUAACACUUAUUUUGUUGCUUUAGGUUCUGUAGUCUAUCAAGUUGUUUAUGACAGCAUGCUUGAAUCUUGUAAUGUAUAUGCCAUUGGCAGCUAGUGUUCCAUAUGUGUUCUUUUCUUGAUAUUUUCUUUUCUUGUCCAUUAAACCUUCCUUGGAGGAGAGCUUUGGAUUCGGAGGAUACGAAUUCUGUGGCAUUUAAGUGGAAGAAGGUUAGUAUGUUUGUUCUGUUGAUAACAACCAUAUAAUGUUCUUUGUCCAAGAUUGCUUUUGCGGAUUGUCAUGCUGAAAACUUUUGUUUUGCUUGUAUAUAAAGCUUUGAGGUUUUUUUAGUAGGAUGUACAUGAGCAUAAAUAUAAAUCAAAUUCAACUAUACUUGAAGAGUCAAGCCUAGACUUAAGACUUAUCCAUAACCUGUCCUCUGCUACAAGUUCUAUGACACUAAUUCUAAAGGAAUUUUACCAAGUUGUUUUCUCGUAAUCUUUGGCUACUUUAGGAAUAUGAUUGGUCAAUAUAUAUAUGGCUUAUGCUAUCCAUUUCUCAUAAUGUAAAUAGGUUCGAGAAGUUGUUCUUUUGGAUGAAGAAGAAGUUCAUACUGUAGAGCCUAUGGAAGAUGGUUGUGACAAAUGGUGACUUUAUCUUCGAACUUUCUUUUCUCUAUAUUCGUUAAAUACCUGUGUGCCAAAUUAUGUCUUCCUAAUGAGCAUUAUUCAAUUUUUUUUAGGAAGGAGGUCAAGGUUUAUUAUCCUUCAAGGUGCAUCAUCUCCUACUUGAACAUAUGGAUUAUUUGCGUCAAUAUUAGUUCCAAAGGUCUCACAAAUUAAAUUUUGUUUUCUUUACAACAGGGAUGAUCCGGAAUCUGUUGAGCUCUCUUAUGCAGAUAUAAAAUGCCUCAAUCCUGAAUCAUACUUGUCAUCUACUAUAAUGAACUUCUACAUUCAGUAAGAUCUUUUUCAUGAUUCCUAAAGUGUUCCUCAGAAAAUCAAUCUACGCUUUUCUGUAUAUUUCACUUCUGUUUGUGUUAUCUAUUAUUUGGCAUUAAUUAAAGUUCCACUCGUUAAACUGAAUGCAGAGAUGACACAAUCAAUGAAUCUUUGAGUUAAGAACAUUCUAGGAUAAGGUCCUGCAUGUUUUUCCUCAUAUAUUUGAUAACUCCUUAGUGGCAAUACACAGUCUCUAUAGAGUAACCUCUGUGAAGAGCUUAUCCGCUCUUAUAAAGAGAACACUUGAUCUAACGAUUGCUUUGGAUAAGAUUUUUGUUAUGGAUGUUGGACACUGAUCAGUGUAGUUUAUGAAUUAUGUAUUAUACUCCAGCUGGGAAUCAUGUAUCUACCAUGUUCAGCUCAUCUUUCCAAUUAAUCACUCUUUUCUUUUCUCUUCUUGCUUGCUUUCUCCUUUUAACCUAUGUUUGAAUUUGUUUCUUAAUAGCAUUCAUCUUUUUAAUGUUUCCACACUUUGGUCCUACAGCAAUAGGGAAGCUAAAUAUGAAUUUUAUCAUUUUUUAGCAGGAGUCUAAUUGUCUUUGUUGCUUCUUUGUGGCAGAUGAUUCUCUUUGGUUUUUUCAUAGUUGGAUUUUGUGAUAGCAUUCUACCUUGGUCGAUACUUGGGCAUAACAUUUUUUAUUAAAGCAUAUUGAUUUAUUGGUUGUCUCAAGCAAGGAUUAUCAUAUCAUGGCAUGGGGGUGCAUUGAUGCUUUUAUAGCAAGGUACAAUUCAAUGUCAUGCCAGCUGGCAUGCUCCAUUGCCGAUUGUUAUGGACCAAAAAUUGACGUAAGUGUAUUCUAGUGCCGAUGUUGGGUCUUGUUUUAUGCCAAAGUGUGCUAACCGACCCUUGACACACUUGCGUGUGUACCACACGGAUUUGCAUGUACCGGUUCGCAAGACUUGUGGGAUCAAGACACCAGAUAUUCCGUCCUUGUUUCUGCUUCACUCUGCAUUCACUUAACAAUUUUAAUGCAUCGAACUUUUGUUUUACUUCAUCUAUGCUACAUGCUUAUAUCACAUUCACAUCUUGUUUGUACAUGUUGAUUGUUGUUUUAGAUACCUGCAAAGGCCCUUGGCUGUUACUGAUAGACCAAGAGGAGACUAUCAUUUUUUCAACACCUAUUUCUACAAGAAACUUGAGGAAGCUGUUUCAUUUAAGGUAUCAUUUUUUAAAUGGUUAAAUGAUUAUUUUUAUACUCUGGUAUUGUCAAAGUUAAGUUCAAUGGCAGUUAAAACUUGAAAGUAGCACGCCUGCCAAGCAUUAGCAAAGAUAUAUUGUGAUACCUAUAGGAAAGUUAUGUAAAGGUCUAUUGCUCUAGGAAUGAUCAAAUUUACUCGAGUAUUAUUUCUUUGGUCAAAUACAACUUCUCCUAGAGUAGGCUCUUGUAAUGCUUGACAACAUGUUCUGUAGUUGUGCAAAUCUUCUUCUUUUGAUAAAUACUUGCUUGUCAUAUAUUGCCAAAACACCAUGGUUUUCUUUGGCACGCAUUUCUUCUUCAUUUUAUGUUAUAUUAGUUCUGUUUAUUUCUAUUGCUGAAAUUUGCAUGCAUCUUAAUUAGGGUGGCCAAAAAUUGUGGGUUUAUCACUGUUCUCGUGUAUUAUUUGCUUCGUAAUACUUUCUCUCUGAAGUAUUUCGUUUAGUUUUCUACCAGAGCAUGUCCAGUUUGCAAUUCAUAAAUGCCUAUAUUGGAAUUGCCAUUAAAGACCCAUUCUGCAGGCUUAUAUUGGAUUCAGAUGUCUGACAUGCAUCUAACUGGCAUAUUAAUAUGACAUUUUUGCAAUUUUUUGUCGGCCACGUAUAACAUAGUUGACUCUUUGUUAGUUGUAAAUUUAUAGACAAGUUAUCAGGUCUGAAUUUUAUCAUGUGUUAUAAAUACGUUUAUAUUAUUUUCCAAAUGAUUUUUAAGUCGGAGUUCAAGUGCUCAUGACUGUACAUCAUUGAGAGCUUGUUUUAUUUAUUUGAAACUGAUACCCAAAUUUACGUACUUUCUCAUAAAUCCUGCAUUGACCUAGACUAUUUUCUGUUAUGUACUGAAACUUAACUGAUAAUCUUUUAUUUAGUAGGUUGACAAGGCAUGUUUUGAGAAAUUGAGGAGAUGGUGGAAGGGUGUUAAUAUUUUUCAAAAAUCUUACAUCUUCAUACCUGUCCAUGGAGAGUAAGUAAUUAUUUCCUGUUCUUAUCCAAUAUGUUGGAUUGACAAACUUAGUAUGUCUAUGUCAUACCUUUUCUUAUGCAUUUGAUUAUGGUACCAUCAAUAUUAUGAUUCUUAAUGAUAUUGGUUGCUUAAAAAUAUUAUGAUGCCAGUAAAAAAGUUAAUGAGAAUCUCAUUGGAUGUUGGAUCAUUGAGUCACGUGUUUGUCAUAUCAUUUGUCUAAUGUAACAUUUAUAACAUGUGACUAAUUGAGGUGCCAAAGACACCAAUUUAUUUAAGUGGCUAGUCUUUUAAUGUUUGUAUGACUUAUUUUGAAUGUAGAUGUAGUGGAACAAUUUUGUGCCAAAAUUCAGUGACUUUUUUCACAUAGUAUUAGAUUUCAGUGAAGAUGUAGUGGAACAAUUUUGUGCCAAAAUUCAGUGACUUUUUUCACAUAGUAUUAGAUUUCAGUGACUUUUUCAAAGAUAAACAAAAGAUGUACAAAUUUAUUUUACAAAAUGAUGUCAUUGGUUUCUAACUUUUUGAUCUAAUAUGUGCUUCUUGUUUUCAGUAUGCAUUGGAGCUUGGCAGUUAUUUGUAUACCUGCACAAGAAGAUGAAUCAGGUCCAAUUGUACUUCAUUUGGAUUCAUUGGGAUUUCAUAACAGUCAAUCGAUAUUUCAUAUCAUAGAUAGGUAAGCUGACUGUGAAAUCUUUUAUGCUAAUAAAGAAGUGGUCAAUUUGUUAUUUGAGUAUAUAUAAUAUAUGUCUGUGUUUCUGCAAUUUUGGUUCUUUUCUGAUUUAUUUUAAAUGCCAAGAUUGCAACAUGUAAUCAUUAAUUGCUUGAAGUUGCAACAUGCUUGACUUGUUCUUUGCCAUGUGGAAACAUUGAUGUAUAGGAAAACCAAUUUCCUUGUUGUGUCUAUGUGCACCUUGCACCAUCGUGUAUCUUCUCAUUUUGGAUUCUCAUCUUCUGAUUGAGACAAAAGCAAACUUAUCUCUGAUAUAAUAAUUAUCUUUUCAGAUAUUCUCUAAAAACCUAAUAUGCAGUUUCUAAUUGCAGAUUUUUGAAAGAGGAAUGGAACUACAUAAAUCAAAAUUCUUCUCGUCCAGAUCUUCCUUUUUCAGUAAAUAUUUGGAGACAUCUUUCAAGUAGCAUUGAGAAGAAAAAGAUCACGGUAAACCUCUUUACAUUGGACAUCUUUAUCUCAUAAUCAGCUUUUCAUUAUGGUUGUUUCUAUAUGGUUGGUACUGUAUUGCUCUUUCAUAACAUGGAAAUCUUUUAUUUUGUUUCCCAAAGUUUAUCAAUCUCAUCUUUGAUAGAAAAAUGGGUAUGUAAUCUCUCUUAUAGAAAAAUUUUAUAUAUUUAGAGUGGUUUGUUUCUGCGGAGCAAUCUUUCCAUUGUAGCAAGGCCCAGUCUCAAUCUCAUCUUCGAUAGAAUGUCUCAAUAGCAAAUGUGUUGAAAUAAAAAAUGACCUUGUUUCCUUUAAAUGAUAACUUGUUUGCAUCGAUUAGCAUGUGGAACUAGCUGAAACUCAUUAUACAUGCUACGUGUUAUCAGGUUCCCCAACAGAAGAAUGAGUAUGACUGUGGGCUUUUUGUGCUCUACUUCAUGGAGAGGUUUAUUGAAGAGGCUCCUGAAAGGCUUAAACGGAAAGAUCUGGCAAUGGUAGGCAACACAUCUCUAAGUGGGCUGGAGAUUGUAUGCUGUUUUAAUUUCUGUUUUCCCUAUCUUUGACCUAAGCAGUUUGGUAGCAAGUGGUUCCAUCCUGAGGAUGCUUCUGGCUUGAGGAAGCAGAUACGAGAUCUGCUUCUUGAAGUAUUUCGGUGUGCUAAGCGGGAGAAUAAUAAAGCAGGAUCAACAUCAUCUUGUGGCUCCUCCGAAGAUGAUUGACAGCGAUCCUACUUGGAUGACUAACCAUUUGACCUGAGAACCCGAGUCAGAAUCAGCUUAGUAGAGGAACAAUUGGAGAAUAGAGAGGAAUAGAAGAGGCUUAUGGAAACACCCAGUCAAUUUUUCAGGGAUAUCUGAAUACUUAUCAGAAGGUAAUUCUCACCGUGCAUUUUAAGUACUGUCGACUAUCCUCACUAAGUUCCUCACGAUGAUAAAUUUAGUUGAGCAAAGCAGGAAACCAGGCAUUGGAAUAACAGCAAGCAUGGCACUUGUUUUGCUCCCAGAGAAUCUUUAGCUGGUUAAUCCAAAGGGGUUAGGACUGUGAUCAGUAGAGUUCUAACAAAAGAAGUAAAGCUUUCUAGAUCAUGGAGGGGUACAAUUUAUAUGUAUUUCUCUUGUGAAUUUUGCAGAUCCAUUUCUGUGUUCCUGACAAUCUGCUUUGACAUAAGAUGAUAGAGGGAAGCUAUAUGCAAGCAGAUUACAAGCAGAUGUUUGUAAAUAGAAUCUCGAGAGAAAUGGCAAGGUUUUAUAUGCUCUUUGCAAUGGCAUUACCACUUCCCUCGUCUAUGUUUUUUAGAAAAGGUUAUUAUGCCCGUCAGUUAUCCUAGUGCUGGUGGCGCAUGCUAUAUACUACCGAUGCUUAUUAUCGUUCAUCAGAUUGCUAGAAGGUCAUUUAAUUGCUCCGGAAACGUAAGUUCUCAUGCUAAACUACCCUCAAGCUAACAUUGCAGCAUGGAAAGUCCACAUCAGUAAUAACCAGAGAUGACAUUCGAAUCGAACACCAUGAUACGACAAUUAGACUAUCACAUCUUCAUUUACCAUACCCAACUGCCAUUUAUUUACCUCUACAAUAUGUAUCAAGAUGCAACCUUUGCUUAUUCAUGUUCACAGGAGAUGAUAAGGCAACAACAGAACAGAACAUAAAUGUGUAGGUCAUACCAGAGUACAAGAGUGAAGCCAAGGAAUACACAUGAAGAUGAAUGUUUUUACAUCAUCACAUAAAUAGAGACAAGCAUGUAGAACAUACUCCGGAUGCAUUGCCAUAAUAUUUCAGCUCCGCAUCGAUGCCUGUGAUUGUGCACAUGCUCUCCAUCUCUUCGACGUUUAUAUAUCCUUGGAACAAUCAUCUUGCCAUGUUAGUUUGAGGGAAUUUAGCUUAUCAAGGGCCUCGGUGCUUGCGGAAACACCCGAAACAUCCUUGUUGCUGAUCAGGAGGAAUCAUACCUCCACCCUUUGAUGUAUCGAUAGCCUCCAACAUGGUCACUGCCUCAUCCAUCUCAGGUCGUUUGUCAGGGUUUGCAUCCCAGCAGACUUUCAUCACAUUUGCCAGAGAGCUUGGGCAGCAUCGUGGGAUCUCUGGUCUCAAGUUCUGCAAUUAUGUGCAAAGUUAAAUUUUUAGUCCUGCAACCACUUCAGCUAUAAUUUUCAAAGAAGUGCAUACCUGCCGCACAACGGCAGAUGUUAUCUCGGAAAAGCUAAGGUCAGGAUACGGCAUGUCACAACAGUAUAUCUCCCACAGGCAGAUCCCAAAGCUAUAAACAUCACAUUUUCUAUUAUAAGGGUUGCCGUUGAGGACCUGCAAAUGUGUCAGUACUAAGGUUACUUCAUCAUGGUUAGACGAGAAUGUAGUAAUAUAAGGAAAAAUGUAAAGUUCCACUUAAACAAUGAACUAAUUAUAUGCUAUCUUCAUAUUCAACUGCAUGCAUUUAUCCUAUUUCCACUCGCCUCGGUUUUCCCUCUCAUUUCUAUUCUUCUUCUUGUCUACCUCAAUCAAAGCUCCAUUUCAAUUUUUCUCCAUCAUGUGCUUUCGUUGCCGGAGCAGCCAAUCAAUAAUGUAUCCUUCUGUAAGUCUAUCUUUAUCAAUGAAUCAAAGAGUUCCCUUACAAACUUCUGGAGAAGCUCUCACAGUAAGUAUUGAACUGUGUAAUUUGUAUUUAACUUAUUUAUUACACAUUUCUGCUAGACCAGCUUUUCUAGCAAGCAAACAUAACUCUUUUUUUCAAUCAUCUUGUUCAGCAAUCUGCAUAACCAGUGACGAACUUCCUAUUACAUUAAAAUAUGUGCCCAAAACAUCUCUUGUUUUUGGUUUAUCUAAAUUCUAACAAAUAAGGAGACAUCUUAGGAGAUUUUCUGGUGCCAUGAAACUGGAAUCAUAAAAUGUUGCAUGUUCACCAUAGGCAAUCUUUACUUCAAGACAGUAUUUCAAUGGAGAAGCUAAUGUGCCACAAUGUCGAUGAAUUAAUCCAGAAGAUUAUGUCAUGUCCACAAACAUUUCAGGCUUCUGAAAAAUGACCUAAGAUUAAGAGGAAACACUUGAACAUCAAAAUAAAAAGGGAUUUCAUACCUCGGGUGCCAUGUAACCAAGGGUUCCUGUCUCACCCGUCAUGUCAUUAGGAUUUUGAGCCUCAAUACGAGCAACACCAAAGUCAGCAAUUUUUACUGUUCCUGUCCUAUCUAGAAGCAUAUUUUCUGUCUUCACAUCUCUGUGCACAAUCUUUUGGGAAUGAAGAUAACUUAACCUACAGAUAAAGAUACAAAUUGGCCAAAUAUAUUUAAUUUGCAAAAAGCUUGUUGAACGGGAAUUACAUGCAGGAAAUAAUUAACAAGUCCACAUGGAAAUAAAAUGCAGUCAACUAAGAGUUUCCAAAUAGAAGAAUUCGAGGCGAAUGCUCACCCUCUCCCAAGAUCCAAAGCCAUUUGGACGACUACCUUGAAAGCUAGCUUUCUCCUGUGGUGUUUUAUAAGAAAUGAUUUCAGUGCACCACCAGGAAGAUAUUCGACAACAACACAGCAAACAUUGCUCGGCAUGCCGAGAUGACCAUUUUCUGUUUGUAUGUUCAGGUCUGCUGCCCCAAUGGCAGCCCCAAUAAACUGCAAAAGAAGUUUAAAAUGAAUGUACAACAUGUUAAGCAAACACGCAGAAAUAUGUAGAGAGCUAUAUUCAAGAAGAUGAAAGCAGAGGAGAUAUUUCAAAUAGGAUAAUAAAUACACGUCCACAGAAAAGAACUACAAGCACUCAGUGAAUUGAGGACUAAAUUCCCAGAGAUGUUACAGACUAGUGGUAUCCUCACAUAAUGACCUGUACCUUAGUUACAUUAGGAUGAUCAAGCUUAUGCCAAACCGAGACUUCCUGAGAGAACGCUGCUCGAAGUGCAGAGAUUUCAGCUUCUGUUCUGUUUCCCUCUUCGCCCCAGUCAAGCAACUUCACUGGAAAUAGUAAAAGAAUACAACUUUUAUAACCAACUAAAGAAAGGGCAAGUGAGAUGUAACUCCAGAGGAUGAUCUCAUGCUCUUUUAAAUGUUUGAGUGCCUGCUAAUGCAAGAAACCGGUAAACUACAACGCAGACUUGUUGGUGAACUGCUAGAGCAAAGAAUGGAAAAGAAAGUUUCAGAUAAGAAAAAAAAAAGAGAAAAAGAAUAUUCUGAACCACACACAGGAAAAAAAAAAAAGUGUGUCCCCCUUUAAUUCAAUGUCCCAAGUUGCAACCCAUUGCAACUAUUUCUUGAGGUCAUUAGCCGGAGUUAUCGCUUUCUGUUCUUCCCUUUAAUAGAUAUCACAAGACCAGCACCCAAGUUUACCAAUAGUUGUUGAGUUAGGUUCACAUGAAAGUACAAGAGAGAAAACAACUGAUCGAACAAAAGUCACGGGAAACACCCCACCCAAUCUGUGCAAGUCACAGGCAUGCAGUCCACUGGCUACAUCGAUGAACAAGAACCUUUAUAAACCGAACUGGAGCGCACCAAACCCCCAAAAGCAAAAGUAACACACAUCAAACGUAAACAGAAAUUUCAUGGUUUUACUAAUGGUGGAAUGCAUCAAACCAGUAUGGAAAUUUCAGUAGUCUUCAAACUGAUGAACAGACGAUAACACACAUAGUUUUCCCCCCUUUCAGUUCUAUUAUCAUGCAAUGAUGCUUCUUCCAUGGAAGAACAGAUCCGCAGAAGACAGACAAGUGCGGAUUGGACACCAAUCCAAAUGAAUUGUACAAGAAAGACAACCAGAGAAAAAGGAACAAGUUCUUCCAAAGCAUAUAAAGUUAUUAGAUUCACUAAAGCAGAUAUCAAGAAAUCAAACGGAAUUAUGCGACGAGGAAAUCCAACCAGUAACAACCGCAUCGAGCACCAAUAAUCACAAAAAGGACCAACUUUUGGCAGUAAAACACAGGCAUUAUUCAAAAAGGGGAGCAACUAUGCAUCAGAAUCUCUUUUCCUUCUUGAUUUUAGGUUUCCUCUCAGCCUCACCGGCGACGUCCUGGCCGUCGUAGACUCCACGGUGGACCGUGCCGAAGGUGCCCCUGGCGAUGACCCCCUUGAUAACCAGCUUCGAGGGGUCGAUCUCCCACUCCUCCCUCUGCCUCUCCUCCUCCUUCCUCUUCUCAAUCGUCCUCGGUCGGCUGAGGUGCCGCUCCAGCUGCUCGUCCAACCUCUUCAGAUCGAUCUGGUCCGCCCUCACGAACCCAUCUCCGCCCCCUUCCUUCAUCUCUCUACCCUCCCCUCCCACCUCUCCCACCCCCCCUCCCCCCCACCCCCCCCGCCUCCUUUGCAGCCUCCAAAUCACGGCAGAAAACCCAAAAGAUGAUAUCUUUAUGGGCUUCGCUUCCCUUCUACCUUUCCUUCUCCCUCCACCGCAUCUUCUCUUCCCCCCCACCCCAACACCCGCACCAGUAUCUGCUACUUCCUCUUCUUUCUAUAAAGCACACUCGUUUCUCUCCUCCCCUCGUCACUGCUAUUCUACUCGCCCUGCGUUUGUCUCUCGCUCUGUGUCUCCAUGUGAGCACAUGGGUUGCCUGCCUCCCUCUCUCUAAUCAAAGCUCGAUUCAAUUAUUUCUCGUCUUUCUAUCUAUUACGACUACCUACAGACGCAUCGAAACCCCUCUUCCUCUGCACUCUCCUUAUCCCCGCUCGGUUGCAGACUCACAGGUGCCCUCGAUGCAUUGUUUCUCGGGGAAACACGCCUCUUGUCUUAUCUUAAGCAUGUGGUGGUCAUCUGAAAGAGAUCGCAGAUGUAACGGGCGGACAUGUCAUUAGAUUUGGACAAGAGCUAAUCAAGCCAUCACCCAAGAAAAAUCCACAUCUUUGUAAACACGACAUUACAUACACCAAAUGAUGUGUGUGUUCUCAGGUCGACUGUUCUUGAAGGUCUCAAAGCAUCGACUUGUCCUGCUACUACUUGGAUGCUACUUUGACGGAAGAUUACAUGUGCAGUGAGGUCAUGCCAUCUCCAGACCAAACUAUAGCCACACAUUUGUGGGAUCUCCACCAUGCACGUGUGGGAACUCGCUUAGUCGUUAAUGGCGUGAGGCCUUUUAGGACUGAGAGAAAGAUUAACAUGAGAUGUCGAAGAAGCAGAACCAGAAUCCAAUUUCUUGCUUGAAGUGCAUGUUUGAAGAGUAUAUUCUGAGGCCAAUCUUGAGAUCACAUUCCUCAGCAGAGCAUCUCUUUCUCAUCUUUGGUCCAUUCCAAGAACAAGAACAAAGAAGGCAGG